UGGGGAAUCUUGCACAAUGGGCGCAAGCCUGAUGCAGCCAUGCCGCGUGAGUGAAGAAGGCCCUAGGGUUGUAAAACUCUUUCAGCGGGGAAGAUAAUGACGGUACCCGCAGAAGAAGCCCCGGCUAACUCCGUGCCAGCAGCCGCGGUAAUACGGAGGGGGCUAGCGAUGUUCGGAAUUACUGGGCGUAAAGCGCGCGUACGCGGAUUGGUCAGUCAGAGGUGAAAUCCCGAAGCUCAACUUCGGAACUGCCUUUGAUACUGCCGAUCUAGAGUCCGGGAGAGGUGAGUGGAAUUCCUAGUGUAGAGGUGAAUUCGUAGAUAUUAGGAAGAACACCAGUGGCGAAGGCGGCUCACUGGCCCGGUACUGACGCUGAGGUGCGAAAGCGUGGGGAGCAAACAGGAUUAGAUACCCGUGUAGUCC
This 423-nucleotide ribosomal RNA is filed under the name uncultured prokaryote. RNAcentral describes it as "bacterial SSU rRNA". It matches the Rfam family "Bacterial small subunit ribosomal RNA", at positions 355 to 796 of the family's 1533-position model. The record is from RNAcentral.